UUAAGUUAUUAAGGGCGCACGGUGGAUGCCUUGGCACUAGAAGCCGAUGAAGGACGUUACUAACGACGAUAUGCUUUGGGGAGCUGUAAGUAAGCUUUGAUCCAGAGAUUUCCGAAUGGGGAAACCCAGCAUGAGUUAUGUCAUGUUAUCGAUAUGUGAAUACAUAGCAUAUCAGAAGGCACACCCGGAGAACUGAAACAUCUUAGUACCCGGAGGAAGAGAAAGAAAAUUCGAUUCCCUUAGUAGCGGCGAGCGAAACGGGAAGAGCCCAAACCAACAAGCUUGCUUGUUGGGGUUGUAGGACACUCUGUACGGAGUUACAAAGGACGACAUUAGACGAAUCAUCUGGAAAGAUGAAUCAAAGAAGGUAAUAAUCCUGUAGUCGAAAAUGUUGUCUCUCUUGAGUGGAUCCUGAGUACGACGGAGCACGUGAAAUUCCGUCGGAAUCUGGGAGGACCAUCUCCUAAGGCUAAAUACUCUCUAGUGACCGAUAGUGAACCAGUACCGUGAGGGAAAGGUGAAAAGCACCCCGGAAGGGGAGUGAAAUAGAACCUGAAACCGUGUGCUUACAAGUAGUCAGAGCCCGUUAAUGGGUGAUGGCGUGCCUUUUGUAGAAUGAACCGGCGAGUUACGAUUUGAUGCAAGGUUAAGCAGUAAAUGUGGAGCCGUAGCGAAAGCGAGUCUGAAUAGGGCGUUUAGUAUUUGGUCGUAGACCCGAAACCAGGUGAUCUACCCUUGGUCAGGUUGAAGUUCAGGUAACACUGAAUGGAGGACCGAACCGACUUACGUUGAAAAGUGAGCGGAUGAACUGAGGGUAGCGGAGAAAUUCCAAUCGAACCUGGAGAUAGCUGGUUCUCUCCGAAAUAGCUUUAGGGCUAGCCUCAAGUGAUGAUUAUUGGAGGUAGAGCACUGUUUGGACGAGGGGCCCCUCUCGGGUUACCGAAUUCAGACAAACUCCGAAUGCCAAUUAAUUUAACUUGGGAGUCAGAACAUGGGUGAUAAGGUCCGUGUUCGAAAGGGAAACAGCCCAGACCACCAGCUAAGGUCCCAAAAUAUAUGUUAAGUGGAAAAGGAUGUGGCGUUGCCCAGACAACUAGGAUGUUGGCUUAGAAGCAGCCAUCAUUUAAAGAGUGCGUAAUAGCUCACUAGUCGAGUGACACUGCGCCGAAAAUGUACCGGGGCUAAACAUAUUACCGAAGCUGUGGAUUGUCCUUUGGACAAUGGUAGGAGAGCGUUCUAAGGGCGUUGAAGCAUGAUCGUAAGGACAUGUGGAGCGCUUAGAAGUGAGAAUGCCGGUGUGAGUAGCGAAAGACGGGUGAGAAUCCCGUCCACCGAUUGACUAAGGUUUCCAGAGGAAGGCUCGUCCGCUCUGGGUUAGUCGGGUCCUAAGCUGAGGCCGACAGGCGUAGGCGAUGGAUAACAGGUUGAUAUUCCUGUACCACCUAUAAUCGUUUUAAUCGAUGGGGGGACGCAGUAGGAUAGGCGAAGCGUGCGAUUGGAUUGCACGUCUAAGCAGUAAGGCUGAGUAUUAGGCAAAUCCGGUACUCGUUAAGGCUGAGCUGUGAUGGGGAGAAGACAUUGUGUCUUCGAGUCGUUGAUUUCACACUGCCGAGAAAAGCCUCUAGAUAGAAAAUAGGUGCCCGUACCGCAAACCGACACAGGUAGUCAAGAUGAGAAUUCUAAAGUGAGCGAGCGAACUCUCGUUAAGGAACUCGGCAAAAUGACCCCGUAACUUCGGGAGAAGGGGUGCUCUUUAGGGUUAACGCCCAGAAGAGCCGCAGUGAAUAGGCCCAAGCGACUGUUUAUCAAAAACACAGGUCUCUGCUAAACCGUAAGGUGAUGUAUAGGGGCUGACGCCUGCCCGGUGCUGGAAGGUUAAGAGGAGUGGUUAGCUUCUGCGAAGCUACGAAUCGAAGCCCCAGUAAACGGCGGCCGUAACUAUAACGGUCCUAAGGUAGCGAAAUUCCUUGUCGGGUAAGUUCCGACCCGCACGAAAGGCGUAACGAUUUGGGCACUGUCUCAACGAGAGACUCGGUGAAAUCAUAGUACCUGUGAAGAUGCAGGUUACCCGCGACAGGACGGAAAGACCCCGUGGAGCUUUACUGUAGCCUGAUAUUGAAAUUCGGCACAGCUUGUACAGGAUAGGUAGGAGCCUUUGAAACGUGAGCGCUAGCUUACGUGGAGGCGCUGGUGGGAUACUACCCUAGCUGUGUUGGCUUUCUAACCCGCACCACUUAUCGUGGUGGGAGACAGUGUCAGGCGGGCAGUUUGACUGGGGCGGUCGCCUCCUAAAAGGUAACGGAGGCGCUCAAAGGUUCCCUCAGAAUGGUUGGAAAUCAUUCAUAGAGUGUAAAGGCAUAAGGGAGCUUGACUGCGAGACCUACAAGUCGAGCAGGGUCGAAAGACGGACUUAGUGAUCCGGUGGUUCCGCAUGGAAGGGCCAUCGCUCAACGGAUAAAAGCUACCCCGGGGAUAACAGGCUUAUCUCCCCCAAGAGUUCACAUCGACGGGGAGGUUUGGCACCUCGAUGUCGGCUCGUCGCAUCCUGGGGCUGUAGUCGGUCCCAAGGGUUGGGCUGUUCGCCCAUUAAAGCGGUACGCGAGCUGGGUUCAGAACGUCGUGAGACAGUUCGGUCCCUAUCCGUCGUGGGCGUAGGAAAUUUGAGAGGAGCUGUCCUUAGUACGAGAGGACCGGGAUGGACAUACCUCUGGUGUACCAGUUGUCGUGCCAACGGCAUAGCUGGGUAGCUAUGUGUGGACGGGAUAAGUGCUGAAAGCAUCUAAGCAUGAAGCCCCCCUCAAGAUGAGAUUUCCCAACUUCGGUUAUAAGAUCCCUCAAAGAUGAUGAGGUUAAUAGGUUCGAGGUGGAAGCAUGGUGACAUGUGGAGCUGACGAAUACUAAUCGAUCGAAGACUUAAUCAA
RNAcentral lists this ribosomal RNA (2921 nucleotides) under Staphylococcus aureus KINW6025. RNAcentral's name for it is "bacterial LSU rRNA". It matches the Rfam family "Bacterial large subunit ribosomal RNA". The record is from RNAcentral. Lineage: Bacteria; Bacillati; Bacillota; Bacilli; Caryophanales; Staphylococcaceae. RNAcentral also lists the same sequence under 1 other name.